UUUGAUCCUGGCUCAGGACGAACGCUGGCGGCGUGCUUAACACAUGCAAGUCGAGCGGAAAGGCCCUUCGGGGUACUCGAGCGGCGAACGGGUGAGUAACACGUGAGUAAUCUGCCCCAGGCUCUGGGAUAGCCACCGGAAACGGUGAUUAAUACCGGAUACGACAACCGAUUGCAUGAUCUGGUUGUGGAAAGUUUUUCGGCCUGGGAUGUGCUCGCGGCCUAUCAGCUUGUUGGUGAGGUAAUGGCUCACCAAGGCUUCGACGGGUAGCCGGCCUGAGAGGGUGACCGGCCACACUGGGACUGAGACACGGCCCAGACUCCUACGGGAGGCAGCAGUGGGGAAUAUUGGACAAUGGGCGGAAGCCUGAUCCAGCAACGCCGCGUGAGGGAUGACGGCCUUCGGGUUGUAAACCUCUUUCAGCACAGACGAAGCGCAAGUGACGGUAUGUGCAGAAGAAGGACCGGCCAACUACGUGCCAGCAGCCGCGGUAAUACGUAGGGUCCGAGCGUUGUCCGGAAUUAUUGGGCGUAAAGGGCUCGUAGGCGGUCUGUCGCGUCGGGAGUGAAAACCAGGUGCUUAACACCUGGCCUGCUUUCGAUACGGGCAGACUAGAGGUACUCAGGGGAGAAUGGAAUUCCUGGUGUAGCGGUGAAAUGCGCAGAUAUCAGGAGGAACACCGG
This 683-nucleotide ribosomal RNA is filed under the name Nocardioides luteus. RNAcentral's name for it is "bacterial SSU rRNA". It matches the Rfam family "Bacterial small subunit ribosomal RNA", at positions 12 to 712 of the family's 1533-position model. Lineage: Bacteria; Bacillati; Actinomycetota; Actinomycetes; Propionibacteriales; Nocardioidaceae. The record is from RNAcentral.